Long non-coding RNA from Oncorhynchus tshawytscha (Chinook salmon), 1267 nucleotides. The record is from Ensembl. NCBI's taxonomy places the organism in Eukaryota, Metazoa, Chordata, Actinopteri, Salmoniformes, Salmonidae.
AAUGUUGUUGAGGUGCUUGGGGGGGGGCGUGGUGUUUUCUCAGGUAACAUACAAAGAGCUAGGGCUUUUAGGGGCAUUGCACUUUGCUUGUUGAGAGGCAAUGAGGCUGUGUAUGGAUAUUGCGGUGCCACUGCUGGCUAUGGUGCACAUGACCUACAUCUGUGAAGCAGCUCUGCUGAGGAAAUCCACAGCGGCUGACUUCCUAAGACCAGUAAGAGAGAAGCGUGCUGCAGAGUGUUUCCCUGCAGGCUGCAGUAUGGAGGACAGUGAUGCUGAGGAGCUACUGGAGGCCAACUCACACUACGUGAGUUCAGGCUGGCAGACACACUGGAGUAUAGACAAAGGACAGUCCGAAGAUGCUGUUGAAUGGUGGCACUGGGGCAGGGGUGAACUCGAGUCCUGGUAGUGAGGCUACGGUGGAGGAAGGCUCAGGGAUGUAGCCCUGGGAUGUACUGUUGCAUCAUCAGGCCAACGCCAGGAGAGCUGCAGCAGACAGACAGGAGAUGCAUGGGUCUUAUCUAUAACGAAUGACAAAAUGCAAGGCCAAAUAUUCCACUUUAUUAAUCAUUAUCUUUUGGGAUGGGUGGAAUUAUAAAAACUUUAAAUAAUGGAAAUAUAGAAUUCCAGGGUCUUUGUGAAAGAUGGAUUUAUUAUAAUAUUGUUAUUGUCUCUGCUUUGUCAAACCAUUUGAUUUAUGAUUUGGGAGUCUACUAAGAUUUGUUUCACAGUACUUCUUGAUUUUUAACAAAAAACGGCUAACACUUGUUAUAUUAGUUAAAGAAUCAUAUAAUUGCCUACCUUCAUAUUGGUGCUUCGUAAGAAUGGUGCUCAGUACCUCAUUUAUUUUGCAAGUUAUCUUUGUAGAAUCAUAGAUCUUAAACUGCAUAGGUACAGCUCUUUAUAAGCCAUGAAUUGUCCAAAUGAAAUAUUUCCCACUUUGACAGUUAAGAAUGGUAAAACUCGAACUAUGAGAAGUAAUUGAAGUUGAUAUACUAAAUUAUAUUAUGUGGAGCAAUGGAAAAUAUUUGUAUAAUAUUUUGACAAUGUACUUUUUGAAGAUUUGCAAACAAAAUGCUUUUACCAUUUACAACUAAUUUUACAAAAUUCCAUUGUAAUGUGCCUACUCCCAAGUCAAAAAUUAUAGGGAAUUAUCCCUGACCUGUAUCACCUGUAUUUAAACAUCCAACUUACUGAUUUAGAAAUAUAUAGGCAGGCCUACUUUAGAAAUGUCUGUGUAAAUAUCUCAAUAAAUGCAUAUUUUAAUCAA